AGCCAGUCAGACCGUGACACAGACAGCUAAAUGGAAAUACAGACUUUAGGCCUAGUACAUGUGGGACUGAUAGACAGGUAUGAUGUGUACGUGUUUGUGUAAAUGGAGGGGAAGGACCCCGAGUACCUGUCGGCGACAUUUUGCAAUUUACAUGAUAGAGCAGCACAGGUAGCAGCACGAAUCUCUGCCUGUCUGACUGACAUCUCAGUGGAUGUUCACACACUACCUGAAAAUUAACCAUGACAAGACUCAACUACUUUUCCUUCAAGAGGCCGGCCUGUAGCUGUGGAUCCUGCCCCGGCUUGCACACAGGAAUGUACUAUUGAGAAAGCGCUGCACCGCAAACCCUCCCAGCCAUUCCAACCCGUAAUCAGAUCCAGCCUGUCAUCCCCCAUCCCGUCUCCAAUCUCUCUCUCUCGCUCUCUAUUUUCUCUUCAAAUCCUUUUCUCUCUAAAUGACAUGCACACACGCAGAAAACAAACACCCACAUAUGAGA
Molecule: long non-coding RNA, 496 nt
Organism: Pleuronectes platessa (European plaice)
Lineage: Eukaryota; Metazoa; Chordata; Actinopteri; Pleuronectiformes; Pleuronectidae
Exons: 3
Source: RefSeq, a predicted model, not a curated record